AACGAACGCUGGCGGCAUGCCUAACACAUGCAAGUCGAACGAGACCUUCGGGUCUAGUGGCGCACGGGUGCGUAACGCGUGGGAACCUGCCCUUAGGUUCGGAAUAACUCCCCGAAAGGGGUGCUAAUACCGGAUAAUGUCUUCGGACCAAAGAUUUAUCGCCUUUGGAUGGGCCCGCGUUGGAUUAGCUAGUUGGUAGGGUAAAAGCCUACCAAGGCGACGAUCAUAGCUGGUCUGAGAGGAUGAUCAGCCACACUGGGACUGAGACACGGCCCAGACUCCUACGGGAGGCAGCAGUGGGGAAUAUUGGACAAUGGGCGAAAGCCUGAUCCAGCAACGCCGCGUGAGUGAUGAAGGCCUUAGGGUUGUAAAGCUCUUUUACCCGGGAUGAUAAUGACAGUACCGGGAGAAUAAGCUCCGGCUAACUCCGUG
Molecule: ribosomal RNA, 432 nt
Filed under: uncultured bacterium
Lineage: Bacteria
Description: partial 16S ribosomal RNA
Rfam family: Bacterial small subunit ribosomal RNA
Source: RNAcentral